Long non-coding RNA from Epinephelus moara (kelp grouper), 827 nucleotides. RefSeq lists it as uncharacterized. NCBI's taxonomy places the organism in Eukaryota, Metazoa, Chordata, Actinopteri, Perciformes, Serranidae. The transcript has 3 exons. The record is from RefSeq and is a predicted model, not a curated record.
AUAGACUGAAGAGGGCCUGGCAGGGGGAGCAAUGUGCAAGUUAAAUGGCAGUUUUGGAUUUACCUGGGGGGAGCCAGGUGGACACAAAUGCAGUGUGUUUUGACGAUGAACAGAAAGGAAAAGGGAAAGCAUAAGUAAGGGUGCAGCUGCAUCAUGUUUAAACAGAGCAGAUGUGGCCUGUCAGUGUAACUUGGUGGUCAUGCAUGACGCUGGCCUCCAGUGUCGUCUUCCUAUGAUCAGGAUGAGGACUGUUGGGACCCAGCUGUCACAACGCAGACUGAUAUACAGGAAAAGCUUGGGUGUCCAGACAAAGCUGCCCACAACAGGUGCUGGUGUUGGUACAGCAGAGAUGAGACCAGCAGAGCAAUCCGUCAGAGGGCUGAUUUUGAGCUCUCAAAAACCUCCUCUAUUUCCUCCGACUGACUGGUCACAGCCUGAAAUUGAAGAUGAUCAGUGCGUGACAGUGGUAACCUAUCCUUUGUUGCAUGUCUCUUUCUCAUGGAGGAAUCAAGUAAUGUUGUUGUGACAGUACUGUAGAAAUGGAUGUGUGAGGGAUUGAAUACUGACCGAGUCCUCUUUUUUAGAUGAAAACACAGCAGUAGACUAAAUCCUGCAGUGUCUGCAUACUAAUUACAAUUUAAUCUAUCUUGCUUAACAAGAGCAUGCUGCAAAAAUGAAAUCAGUUCAUUUAGUGCCUCUGCUCAUCUAUUUCUGUUUACCAGUGGCAACACUGCUCAUUGUAGUGAGAAAACAUCUGUUGUUAUUGUAAAAAAAAAAAAAGUUUGUCAAUUUAACCAAUUAUUCUCUUAUUUUAACUAGAUGCUCUG